Molecule: ribosomal RNA, 723 nt
Filed under: Triticum aestivum (bread wheat)
Lineage: Eukaryota; Viridiplantae; Streptophyta; Magnoliopsida; Poales; Poaceae
Description: partial small subunit ribosomal RNA
Source: RNAcentral
AUGUUCCUUUGCAUGGAGAUAAUGAGCGAGGUGCCGACGGACGGCACGUCGGGAGUCCUCGACCUCAGCAGGAACCACUACUCGCUGGCCUCACGGGUUCUUCUGUCCCCGGACACGGUUGCCUUCUCCUACUGCCUGCCCAGAGGCUCCGAGUCCCAGGGCUUCCUCUCCUUCGGCACCAUCCGGCCCGAGCUCGCCGGCCGCAAUGUGAGUUACGCCACCCUGCACAGCAGAGCCCCCCCCCGCCGGAACCUCUACUUCCUGAGGCUCAUUGGCGUGAGUAUCGGCGGGCUGGACCUCCCGAUCUCCGCCGAGGCUCUCGCCGGCGACGCGCUGGUCGAGGUGCAGACCACGUUCACCUACCUGAAGCCGAAAGUGUACGAGUACCUGCGCGGCCUGUUCAGGCUGUGGAUGAUCAGUUACAAGGUGGCGCCAUCGUCCGGCGAGCUCGACACGUGCUACGACUUCACCGACAUGGACGCUAUCGGUGUGCCGAGCAUCACGCUCAGCUUUGAGGGUGGGGCGAGCCUGGAGCUCGGAUUGGAGCAGAUGAUGUACUUCAGCAACCCCCACAACAUCUUCUCGGUGGCGUGCCUCGCGUUCGCGCCGGCGCCGGCGUACGGGUCGGGCGUCUCCGUCAUCGGGUCGCUGGCGCAGGCGUACACGGAGGUGGUCUACGAUCUGCGUGGAGGCAAGGUCGGGUUCGUCGACAACCGCUGCUGA